RNAcentral lists this ribosomal RNA (1284 nucleotides) under Arthrobacter sp. Dc5. RNAcentral's name for it is "bacterial SSU rRNA". It matches the Rfam family "Bacterial small subunit ribosomal RNA", at positions 56 to 1352 of the family's 1533-position model. Lineage: Bacteria; Bacillati; Actinomycetota; Actinomycetes; Micrococcales; Micrococcaceae. The record is from RNAcentral.
UGCAAGUCGAACGAUGAAGCCCAGCUUGCUGGGUGGAUUAGUGGCGAACGGGUGAGUAACACGUGAGUAACCUGCCCCCGACUCUGGGAUAAGCCCGGGAAACUGGGUCUAAUACCGGAUAUUACCUUUGACCGCAUGGUUGUUGGUGGAAAGAUUUAUCGGUGGGGGAUGGACUCGCGGCCUAUCAGCUUGUUGGUGAGGUAAUGGCUCACCAAGGCGACGACGGGUAGCCGGCCUGAGAGGGUGACCGGCCACACUGGGACUGAGACACGGCCCAGACUCCUACGGGAGGCAGCAGUGGGGAAUAUUGCACAAUGGGCGAAAGCCUGAUGCAGCGACGCCGCGUGAGGGAUGACGGCCUUCGGGUUGUAAACCUCUUUCAGUAGGGAAGAAGCGAAAGUGACGGUACCUGCAGAAGAAGCGCCGGCUAACUACGUGCCAGCAGCCGCGGUAAUACGUAGGGCGCAAGCGUUAUCCGGAUUUAUUGGGCGUAAAGAGCUCGUAGGCGGUUUGUCGCGUCUGCCGUGAAAGUCCGAGGCUCAACCUCGGAUCUGCGGUGGGUACGGGCAGACUAGAGUGAUGUAGGGGAGACUGGAAUUCCUGGUGUAGCGGUGAAAUGCGCAGAUAUCAGGAGGAACACCGAUGGCGAAGGCAGGUCUCUGGGCAUUUACUGACGCUGAGGAGCGAAAGCAUGGGGAGCGAACAGGAUUAGAUACCCUGGUAGUCCAUGCCGUAAACGUUGGGCACUAGGUGUGGGGGACAUUCCACGUUUUCCGCGCCGUAGCUAACGCAUUAAGUGCCCCGCCUGGGGAGUACGGCCGCAAGGCUAAAACUCAAAGGAAUUGACGGGGGCCCGCACAAGCGGCGGAGCAUGCGGAUUAAUUCGAUGCAACGCGAAGAACCUUACCAAGGCUUGACAUGUGCCAGACCGCCUCAGAGAUGGGGUUUCCCUUCGGGGCUGGUUCACAGGUGGUGCAUGGUUGUCGUCAGCUCGUGUCGUGAGAUGUUGGGUUAAGUCCCGCAACGAGCGCAACCCUCGUUCCAUGUUGCCAGCACGUAAAGGUGGGGACUCAUGGGAGACUGCCGGGGUCAACUCGGAGGAAGGUGGGGAUGACGUCAAAUCAUCAUGCCCCUUAUGUCUUGGGCUUCACGCAUGCUACAAUGGCCGGUACAAUGGGUUGCGAUACUGUGAGGUGGAGCUAAUCCCUAAAAGCCGGUCUCAGUUCGGAUUGGGGUCUGCAACUCGACCCCAUGAAGUCGGAGUCGCUAGUAAUCGCAGAUCAG